Long non-coding RNA from Lampris incognitus (smalleye Pacific opah), 742 nucleotides. RefSeq lists it as uncharacterized. The transcript is spliced from 4 exons. The record is from RefSeq and is a predicted model, not a curated record. NCBI's taxonomy places the organism in Eukaryota, Metazoa, Chordata, Actinopteri, Lampriformes, Lampridae.
GCUGUGAGUAUGAGGAGGCCAGCGGCCAGCUGAUAGAUGAGAGGUGAAGUGUAAGCGAGUGCCAAUAAAGUGUCCAGGUCUCAGCCACGAUCCCAAGCCUCCGCCUCCUUCCUUUUCCACGCAAACAUCAUACCACAACAAACACAACGCAGAGUCCCAGGGCGUGUAGGGAGACGACGGCCCAACGCAAAGUGCGGGUUACAUAUAUAUUGUGCCAACAGCUUGCGAACAGCCGGUGACCAUUUCAGAGAAACCACAAACAAGCAAAGCAACACAGCAACAUCACAGGUGUGUGUCUGUGUGGGCUGAAGGUGUGGUUACAGGUUGUGGUUGGGUAUGAGGCUUCAUGGUGAGGCUGGAGGGAAGAGCGGCGGCACACUUCCGGUGACGUCGGCGGCGUCUUGGAGAGUCCAGCAUGUAAACGAGCUACGCAGCUGCACAUGAUGACGACACGGAGAGUGUUUCAUCUAAAACCUCUGAGGGAAAGGCUGCUACCAAAACACCCUGUGAGUCCUCCAGCCAGAAAGACCAGGCCAUCAACGAAACGGACAUCCAGCCAGAACUUGUUACCAAGUCCAAGAAGUGCUGCGUCAGGUGCUUCCUUCAGAGGAUUUUCAAGACUCGUUGCUGCUGUUUCACGGCCGAUGAUGAAGAUGAAGAUGAUGACUUGAGAGAACCUAUUCUCCAGCCUGCUGUUCAAAGCUAAUAACUGCAGUCACAAUAAUUAAACUGACCCGUUUGU